Momordica charantia (bitter melon) is the source of this 2026-nucleotide long non-coding RNA. RefSeq lists it as uncharacterized. Lineage: Eukaryota; Viridiplantae; Streptophyta; Magnoliopsida; Cucurbitales; Cucurbitaceae. The record is from RefSeq and is a predicted model, not a curated record.
AAAGGAAAAAGAAUGAAGAAACCCUAGCACCUAUCUCUUUCCUCUUCCUUUCACGGUGUACUCUCAUUCUUCUUCGUCUUCCACAACAGCCCUAUUAUUUUUCAUCAUCGAUGGCGACUCCACGAUAGCAUUUCCCAGCUGACGACGAUGCGAACGACAUGGCGACGUGACCCUCAGACUGUAGCGUUUUCGGCGAUGGUGCAAUAGUAACAAAUGCCUAGAUCUGAUGUUCUUCGAUGGCCCAACAAUGCGUGCGGCUCCUUUUGGGAGUCAUUUCAUGGCAGUGCAGUACUGUGGAUUGGAAGGAAGUUAUUUCUGUUCUAGGAAUGAGCAUCUAAACCCUACAAAAAGGGAAAAAAAUUCAAAGAUUCGAAGUUCAAAGCGAUGGAAGAGAGAGAAGCCAUAAGUGCGUGCGGCUCCUUUAACGGCGGCAAGGUGCAUUCAGCGGUGAUCACUUUAUGAAGAUGAUGAUGAGGUUAUUGAAUAAAAAAUUAAAGCUUUCUUGGAUGAAAAUGUAUAGAUUUUCAAUUCGAGUCUUUGAGAUAAGUGACUAUUUUGUCUUUCUAAUCAACAUUGUCAACCCUUUUAUUAAAUGCACUUGUCAGCUCUUACUUGUUCGGUUUGAUUUGCAAUACUUUAGGCUUUUGAAUUGAAGAAAAUGCAGACAGACAUACCUAUAUUUGCAAUGCCUUAGGCUUGAUCAUCAGCUUUUCCAACUAUGUGGCCAUGAUGAAAAAUAUCAUUAAUACAUUUUUUGUACAUUUUUAUGUUGUCCCCCACUUCGAUUCAGGCGUCGAGUAUAUCCUUUACUGCAUUGGGUCUUUAAUGUGGCUUAGGAAGGAUAUGCUGAAUACUCUAAUAUCCAUAAUUUAUAUCAAAAGGUAUACAACCUCAAAAUUAGAGAAAUGGUCACUUACCUUAUUUACUUGUUUUUAACUAUUUGAGCAUUAAAAUGCAUUUAAAGUAAGUUAUUCUAGUUAAUUCAAAACUUAUGAUAUAGUUUCCUAUUUAGAUAAGCCUUACAUCAAGUUUCAAAUAUAUGUUGCGUUAUAUUUCUGAAUUGAUUUGUCGUUUUGAAAUAAAAUGAAAUGGCUUCAAAUACGGAAUUCCUCUAGGGCAAAAGAUAAUUUUGUUAAUGUUGAUUAAUUAGUAAGGAUGUUUAUUUGCUGAUUUUGAUAAUGAAAUCCUUCAGUCAAUUGUAGAGGACUUUUCUACUGACAAAACAUAUAGCAAACUAAUUUAUAUGCAUAUGCUAAUUCUAGCCGCACAACAUUUUUUUGUUAUUCUUUUUGUUACAUUUACUUCUUCGUCGUUGCUUUUGAUAGCAGUAUAGCAAAUAUUCUCAUUUUCUAUGUUUGUCAAUCAUCACUUACCAUUGUAAGAAGAAGAAUAUGACAUUGAUGUUUGUUUGACACUAGGGGUGAUGUUUUUGCUUAAUGUGAAAUUAUUGAUACUUCUUUCUCUUCCAUUAAUACAUAUUUGUGUUGCUAUCCUGCAGCAAAGAUAGCCAAUUAAGACUUAAUGUUUAUAUGUGUCAUGCAUAUAAUAUAAAGUCUAGUUGGAUAAUUAUGUUGCUAUUCUGCAGCAAAGAUAGCCAAUUAAGACUUAGUGUUUAUAUUUGUGUCAUGCAUAUAGUUUAAAAUCUAGUUGGAUAAUUGUGUGACUAUCUUGUAGCAAAGAUAGCCAAUUAAGACUUAGUGUUUAUAUGUGUCAUUACGUAAUGCAUGUUGGAGUUAGAAAGAAAAUGUAGGAGUAUAGGGAAGUUUUUUCUUAAUUGUUCGUUUUAUUUUGUUGAAGGAAUAGCUUGCGGGAGCAACAUUUUGAGAAAGAAGAAUUUAUAGGGAAGAGUUUCGGCGUAUUUUCGACAUGUACGAGGUUGAUGUAAUGUGAAUAUAGUUCGUUGGGCAUUCUCUUAUUGUAAUCAUAGACUUAUAGUAUAGUAUUUGUAUAAAAUAUCCUAAUGUACAAAUUUGAUCAGACAUUGAUCUUAUUAUAUGCAACUUUGUUACAUUUUAUAAUUUAUAGA